RNAcentral lists this ribosomal RNA (429 nucleotides) under Chloroflexota bacterium. Its description in RNAcentral is "Chloroflexi bacterium partial 16S ribosomal RNA". It matches the Rfam family "Bacterial small subunit ribosomal RNA", at positions 355 to 776 of the family's 1533-position model. The record is from RNAcentral. Lineage: Bacteria; Bacillati; Chloroflexota.
UGGGGAAUAUUGCACAAUGGGCGCAAGCCUGAUGCAGCCAUGCCGCGUGUAUGAAGAAGGCCUUCGGGUUGUAAAGUACUUUCAGUCGGGAGGAAGAUGGUAAGGUUAAUAACCUUAUCAAUUGACGUUACCGACAGAAGAAGCACCGGCUAACUCCGUGCCAGCAGCCGCGGUAAUACGGGGGGUGCAAGCGUUAAUCGGAAUUACUGGGCGUAAAGCGCACGCAGGCGGUUGAUUGAGUCAGAUGUGAAAUCCCCGGGCUUAACCCGGGAAUUGCAUCUGAUACUGGUCAGCUAGAGUCUUGUAGAGGGGGGUAGAAUUCCAUGUGUAGCGGUGAAAUGCGUAGAGAUGUGGAGGAAUACCGGUGGCGAAGGCGGCCCCCUGGACAAAGACUGACGCUCAGGUGCGAAAGCGUGGGGAGCAAACAGG